This 1750-nucleotide unclassified non-coding RNA is filed under the name Hevea brasiliensis (rubber tree). Lineage: Eukaryota; Viridiplantae; Streptophyta; Magnoliopsida; Malpighiales; Euphorbiaceae. The record is from RNAcentral.
GAAAAAGCCCAUUUGAUUCCAAUCCCUCCCUUCCUGAGCUUGAAACAAUAAACCCCAGAAAACCAAAACCCCACUUUUAAGUUAAUUGCUGUGAAUAAUCAUCAGUUGGCUGUUUCACAAAAAUUCAGAGGUGGUUUUUCUCAGAUUUUGUGGUAUUGGUUUUCCUUAUCUUCGAUAGCUGAAAAACUGCAUGUUUUGGCAAUAUAUAUAUAUCUUCAUGGGUUUUCUCUUUUCUUCCAACAAGCUUCCAUAUAUACCAAUUUCAUUACUGAGAAAUCAUUUGUGUUAUUGUCUCUGCUCUAAACUUUUAUUUGUUGGUUCUGCAGGGGAAGACAAUGAAAGUCAAGCUCUUGCGUAUCCUUCUCAUAAAUGUGGUGCUUUGUGUGAUAUCAUUAUUAGUUUAAUGUAUUGAUUUGAUUUCACAAUUACAGAAAGAUAUGCUUUUUAUUAGUUUCUCUUUGGGAUAUCUUAUAUGGGUUGAGCCGUUGAGGCAACUGGGGGCUUGGGUGAAUUAUGUGAAUCAAAUUUGAUACACAAUCUUACCCUUAUUGAGUAACUCCCAAGGUUGCUGAGCAAUAACUUUUGUUAUGUCUCUGAUAUUCUGUCUGAUUCAGCAUUGUCUUGCAAUCGAAUCUUUCUUGGACAAUUUUUACUGUUUCUGGAAGACAUAAUUUGUUUUAUGAGUAAAUUUGAGGUAAUUAUGGAUUAAAGAUGUCAUUUUUAUUGCGUUUAGCUUUCUACUGUCAGUGAUCUUUUCCAUGAGAAUAUUAUUUGCCUUUUUAAAAUGUUGGGACUGAUCCUGUUACUGGGAGGGAAAUCUUCAGUGUUGUUUCAAUGUUUAAAUAUUAUUUUGAAUAUAUUUGUUCCCAAUUUGACAUUUUGAGCUUUCUGAGAAAACAGUUUUCUCUUGACUUAUCUUCUUUCUGCUUGUUGACCACUGCUUCCAAACAGAGUAUGUUCUCUUUAUCCUUUGCAUAUCUGUUUUGUUUCAAGUGUUGUGAGCUUGGAAUUAAACAUCUGAUACAGGCUAAUGAGUUAAUGACUGAACUUAUGCGUGUAUGCUUUUUAAUGGUUGGGUUAAUUGAUACUUUAAAGGUUGAAGAAUUCUUGACCUUGUCUUCUAGUUUUAGAUCUGUUUUGUCUAGUCUAGCCAUUAGAGAUAUUGGAAAAAUAUCUGAAUGUCUUUUAUUAAUUUGGUUGGGAGCAUAACUAUUGUCCCUUGGGUGAAGGUGGCAUGCUGUUGCAUCGUGGACUUGGGAUGCUCAAGAUGAAACAUGUGGGAUCUGUAGGAUGGCCUUUGAUGGCUGUUGUCCUGAUUGUAAACACCCUGGAGAUGAUUGCCCCUUAAACAAUGUUGCGUCAUUAGGUUGUCUAUUUUUCAAUUAGUUGUUUGGGGUGUAUGCAACCAUUCCUUCCAUCUUCAUUGCAUCUUGAAAUGGGUAAAUUCACAGACUUCUCAAGCACAUUGUCCCAUGUGCCGUAGAGAAUGGCAGUUUAAAGGAUGAAGAAAUCUACUUCCAUCCCAAUUUUUUUUUCCCUUUUUCUUUGUUGUUGUCACUAUUAUUCCUUGUUGGUAUCUUUCUUCUGCAGUGAACCAUAGAAAGAUCAACUUCAGGUUUUCUUUACGUUUUGUUCUUUUAACAAUUGUUCCUGUAAUAUUCAAUAUCAUAUUAUUGCAACUCUUGUCAUUUCUGGAUGUGAACAUUUGGAGUUUGUUAAUAAUAUGUAAUAUCAGAGAUUGAUCUUCCUA